RNAcentral lists this unclassified non-coding RNA (240 nucleotides) under Hevea brasiliensis (rubber tree). The record is from RNAcentral. Lineage: Eukaryota; Viridiplantae; Streptophyta; Magnoliopsida; Malpighiales; Euphorbiaceae.
GAGGUGUAUGCACAAGUGACUUUGUUGCCAGAACCAAAUCAAGAUGAGAAUGUGGUAUCAAAGGAACCGAUGCCCUCUCCGCCACCACGAUUCCAUGUGCACUCUUUUUGUAAGACAUUAACAGCCUCUGAUACCAGCACUCAUGGAGGAUUUUCUGUCUUGAGACGGCAUGCUGAUGAAUGCCUCCCGCCUCUGGAUAUGUCUCGGCAGCCUCCAACACAGGAGUUGGUGGCCAAAGAU